Molecule: ribosomal RNA, 508 nt
Filed under: uncultured bacterium
Lineage: Bacteria
Description: partial 16S ribosomal RNA
Rfam family: Bacterial small subunit ribosomal RNA
Source: RNAcentral
AUUGAACGCUGGCGGCAUGCCUUACACAUGCAAGUCGAACGGCAGCGGGGGAGAAGCUUGCUUUUCCUGCCGGCGAGUGGCGAACGGGUGAGUAAUACAUCGGAACGUGCCCUGUAGUGGGGGAUAACUAGUCGAAAGAUUAGCUAAUACCGCAUACGACCUGAGGGUGAAAGUGGGGGACCGCAAGGCCUCAUGCUAUAGGAGCGGCCGAUGUCUGAUUAGCUAGUUGGUGGGGUAAAGGCCUACCAAGGCGACGAUCAGUAGCUGGUCUGAGAGGACGAUCAGCCACACUGGGACUGAGAACCGGCCAAGAGUCCUACGGGAGGCAGCAGUGGGGAAUUUUGGACAAUGGGCGAAAGCCUGAUCCAGCAAUGCAGCGUGUGUGAAGAAGGCCUUCGGGUUGUAAAGCACUUUUGUCCGGAAAGAAAUGGCUCUGGUUAAUACCUGGGGUCGAUGACGGUACCGGAAGAAUAAGGACCGGCUAACUACGUGCCAGCAGCCGCCGUAA